Molecule: ribosomal RNA, 446 nt
Filed under: uncultured bacterium
Lineage: Bacteria
Description: bacterial SSU rRNA
Rfam family: Bacterial small subunit ribosomal RNA
Source: RNAcentral
UUCCAGACUCCUACGGGAGGCAGCAGUGGGGAAUAUUGGACAAUGGGGGGAACCCUGAUCCAGCGACGCCGCGUGAGUGAAGAAGUAUUUCGGUAUGUAAAGCUCUAUCAGCAGGGAAGAAAAUGACGGUACCUGACUAAGAAGCCCCGGCUAACUACGUGCCAGCAGCCGCGGUAAUACGGAGGAUGCGAGCGUUAUCCGGAUUUAUUGGGUUUAAAGGGUGCGCAGGCGGAAUGUCAAGUCAGCGGUAAAAUUUCGGGGCUCAACCCCGUCGUGCCGUUGAAACUGGCGUUCUUGAGUGAGCGAGAAGUAUGCGGAAUGCGUGGUGUAGCGGUGAAAUGCAUAGAUAUCACGCAAAACUCCGAUUGCGAAGGCAGCAUACCGGCGCUCAACUGACGCUCAUGCACGAAAGCGUGGGUAUCGAACAGGAUUAGAUACCCGCGUAC